GUGACCUGGAAGACCUGGAGGAGGUUGCGUCAGCGCAGACAUCCUUGGAGGAAGCCACAGGGGUUCACAUGGUAAAGCAUCUGCCUCAGGCUCCAGUGCCCUGGGGACAGUCUGGCCCAGAUACAGGAGUGACUCGUGGAACUGUGCUCAGGGGCUGAAAUAGGAGCCCUGGGGUCUCAGCUGCUUUCUCAGAAAGAGAAAAAGAAACCGUGUUAUUUCCUAGAAUGUAAUGAAUGAGCUGGGAGAUGCUGGGGUAGGUGAGCACACCAGGUGCCAGGACCCAAGGCCUCCCCAUCACCUGCAUCUGCAAGGGCUCCUUGGACCCUGGUCAGAAGUUUAUUUGGUGAAUGAUCCUGCAGACAUCACACUGGCUCAAAGGGCAUCAGAACCCCAGCUGAGAGGAGCCUCAGCAUCAGAUGAUGAGGACCUGGCACGGGAGCCUUCAUCUGAGGAUGUCCCAGGCGUUCACAUGGUGGACAAAGCCAGACAGACGAACAGUACAUAUUCUGGGAUCACCCCUAUGCUGAGGAAAAAUUCUAGUGUUGACACAGGUGCCAAGGAACUUCUGGAGGAGGAUGUGCCAGGACAGACAUCCUUGGAGGAAGCCUCAGGGGUUCACAUGGUAAAGUCUUCUUUUUUCCUCUGAAAUUGAAAUUUUAUUUCUCUCUGUUUCAAUUGAAUUAAGAUGUAUACAUCUUACCAUGUACAUUAUAGGUGAUUUACAGAAUUUCUUGGUGGGCAAAUGUCAGAGUUCAUUAUCAACAAAAAAAAUGAUUUCAGAUGGCAUCCACAUGUGCAAACUGUAUGUCAGCAGGCAUUUUCCUCAAGAGAAAUGCCUCCUUCUUGAGAAGUAUUUGGAAUUGUCAAACAAAAACAUUGGAAACUCUUGCAAAAAAAUC
Molecule: long non-coding RNA, 899 nt
Filed under: Rhinopithecus bieti (black snub-nosed monkey)
Lineage: Eukaryota; Metazoa; Chordata; Mammalia; Primates; Cercopithecidae
Description: lncRNA (ENSRBIG00000046255.1)
Source: RNAcentral